This 253-nucleotide ribosomal RNA is filed under the name uncultured bacterium. RNAcentral describes it as "partial 16S ribosomal RNA". It matches the Rfam family "Bacterial small subunit ribosomal RNA", at positions 524 to 776 of the family's 1533-position model. The record is from RNAcentral.
UACGGGGGGUGCAAGCGUUGUUCGGAUUUACUGGGCGUAAAGGGCGCGUAGGCGGUGCGACACGUCACUUGUGAAAUCUCCGGGCUUAACCCGGAGCGGCCAAGUGAUACUGUAGUGCUAGAGUGCGGAAGGGGCUACUGGAAUUCUCGGUGUAGCGGUGAAAUGCGUAGAUAUCGAGAGGAACACCGGCGGCGAAGGCGGGUAGCUGGGCCGACACUGACGCUGAGGCGCGAAAGCCAGGGGAGCGAACGGG